This is a non-coding RNA of Plectropomus leopardus (leopard coralgrouper), 420 nucleotides long. Lineage: Eukaryota; Metazoa; Chordata; Actinopteri; Perciformes; Serranidae. The record is from RefSeq and is a predicted model, not a curated record.
AGGGAGACUGUGUUAACUUUCGUCAGCCAAAACGGACAACACCAGAAACUGUUGAAGACGAAACACUUCAAGCAUCUGAGGCAGCUCAUUGUGUCCAGUGGACAACCUAACCAGGUCAAAGACUUGGUGGACUACCUGAUCAGCCAGAACUGUCAAGACGACGCUGACUCACUCGCUCGUGAGUACGUGAAACACCGGGACCAUCAAAGGGGGAGAACUCUGACAAACGGUUCACCUUCACCGAGCUGCCUGAAGGAGUUUCUCAAGCUGCAAAAUGGAGUUUCGGGGUAAACUGACACUAUUUCUGCAGCUGUAUUUAUGUAUUCUUACUUGGUCUGUCUUGGACUGAGAUGCAGUAUUUGCACUUAUCAUCUACAGUAUCUUUACAUUGUUGUGUACUCUUUGAAUAAAUUCUUUUCC